This 399-nucleotide ribosomal RNA is filed under the name uncultured archaeon. RNAcentral's name for it is "bacterial SSU rRNA". It matches the Rfam family "Archaeal small subunit ribosomal RNA", at positions 854 to 1252 of the family's 1478-position model. The record is from RNAcentral.
ACUUAAAGGAAUUGGCGGGGGAGCACUACAACGGGUGGAGCCUGCGGUUUUAUUGGAUUCAACGCCGGAAACCUCACCGGGACCGACAGCGAUAUGAAGGCCAGGCUGAAGACCUUGCCGGAUUAGCUGAGAGGUGGUGCAUGGCCGUCGUCAGUUCGUACUGUGAAGCAUCCUGUUAAGUCAGGCAACGAGCGAGACCCACGCCCACAGUUGCCAGCGUACUCUCUGGAGUGACGGGUACACUGUGGGGACCGCUGCUGCUAAAGCGGAGGAAGGAAUGGGCAACGGUAGGUCAGUAUGCCCCGAAUAUCCCGGGCUACACGCGGGCUACAAUGGUUGGUACAAUGGGUAUCUACCCCGAAAGGGGAUGGAAAUCUCCUAAAGCCAAUCGUAGUUCGG